UGUGCCAGCAGCCGCGGUAAUACGUAGGGGGCAAGCGUUGUCCGGAAUUAUUGGGCGUAAAGCGCGCGCAGGCGGCUUCUUAAGUCAGGUGUGAAAGCCCACGGCUCAACCGUGGAGGGCCACUUGAAACUGGGAAGCUUGAGUGCGGGAGAGGAGAGCGGAAUUCCACGUGUAGCGGUGAAAUGCGUAGAGAUGUGGAGGAACACCCGUGGCGAAGGCGGCUCUCUGGCCUGUAACUGACGAUGAGGCGCGAAAGCGUGGGGAGCGAACAGGAUUAGAAACCCCAGUAGUCC
This 293-nucleotide ribosomal RNA is filed under the name uncultured bacterium. RNAcentral's name for it is "partial 16S ribosomal RNA". It matches the Rfam family "Bacterial small subunit ribosomal RNA", at positions 504 to 796 of the family's 1533-position model. The record is from RNAcentral.